RNAcentral lists this long non-coding RNA (706 nucleotides) under Pan troglodytes (chimpanzee). RNAcentral describes it as "long non-coding RNA NONPTRT015328". Lineage: Eukaryota; Metazoa; Chordata; Mammalia; Primates; Hominidae. The record is from RNAcentral.
UGAUCACAGCUCACUGCAGCCUCAACCUGGCUCAAGCAAUCCUUCCUCCUCAGCCUCCUGAGUAGCUGGGACCACAGACUCAUGUCACCACACCUAAUUUUUUUUUUUUUUUUUUUUUGUAGAGACAAGGUCUCACUAUGUUGCCCAGGCUGGUCUUGAACUCCUAGGCUGAAGCAAUCCUCCUUCCUUGGCCUCCCAAAGCACUGGGAUUAUAGACGUGAGCCACUGCACCAGUCUGCCUUUAGCUUCUUUUAGUCUAGAACAUUUUCACUGGCUUUCUUUGUCUUUUAUGACAUUGACAUUUUUAAAUAAUACAGUCAUUUUGCCUCCUCUCUGUUUUCUUCUUCUUUUUUUAAAUAAUAGAAUGGUCCUUGUUUUAAAUUUAUUUGAUGUUUUCUUAUGAUUAGAUUCAGGUGCUGGGUGAUGUUAAGUUCCUCACAGGAUAUCACAUCUGGAGGCACACAAAGGCCGUCACACCAAGGCGAUGUCAAUUUUGGUCAUCUGGUCAAGGUCAGGCCAGGAGCCUAGGCUAAAGGAAACUUCACCACCGGGGACAUCAGCUGCUGUGGCCAGAGAAGAGAACAUGGUGAAUAAUGCUUCAUACCUUAGGGCAGGGCUUCUCAAAUUUAAACGUGCAUAGGCAUCUCCUGGGGAGCUUAUUAAAUUCACAUUCUGAUUCAGGAGGUCCUGGAGGGCCUGAGAUGCC